UACGUAGGUGACCAGCGUUGUCCGGAUUUACUGGGCGUAAAGAGCGCGCAGGCGGUCGUUCAAGUCGAGUGUGAAAGCCCCCGGCUCAACUGGGGAGGGUCAUUCGAUACUGAUCGACUGGAAGGCAGGAGAGGGAAGCGGAAUUCCCGGUGUAGUGGUGAAAUGCGUAGAUAUCGGGAGGAACACCAGUGGCGAAGGCGGAGACCUGGGCCGAUACUGACGCUGAGGUGCGAAAGCGUGGGGAGCAAACAGG
RNAcentral lists this ribosomal RNA (253 nucleotides) under uncultured bacterium. RNAcentral describes it as "partial 16S ribosomal RNA". It matches the Rfam family "Bacterial small subunit ribosomal RNA", at positions 524 to 776 of the family's 1533-position model. The record is from RNAcentral.